This 179-nucleotide non-coding RNA is filed under the name Ihubacter massiliensis. Its description in RNAcentral is "6S RNA". It matches the Rfam family "6S / SsrS RNA". Rfam says of the family: E. coli 6S RNA was the first non coding RNA to be sequenced, but its function was unknown until recently. The record is from RNAcentral. Lineage: Bacteria; Bacillati; Bacillota; Clostridia; Peptostreptococcales; Anaerovoracaceae. RNAcentral also lists the same sequence under 2 other names.
UAAAUCCUGAAGUGUUCGUUGAGAUAUUAUAAUUCAACCUACGUAUUGACAUUGGGAGCCCGGUGUUUUUGUCAGCGGAUGUCAAGCCGCCUUCGAGCGGAAGGCAGAGGCGGAAACAGGGCACCCCCCUAUCGCAGAUAGGGUGUGAAUUAUAGUCUCGACGGCAUGUCGGGAUUCUU